CAGGGUGUAGGUUUUAGGGGUCAAUUUGGAAUUAGGAAUCAAAUGUAGUUCAGGGCCUUACAGCUGUCCUUAAUUAGCCAAUGACAUUAGAAGGGUCUGGGAUUUGUUUAAAAGGAGCAACCAAAAAAGCUUGCCAGAUACAGCAUAAGGGAUAUUAUGCUAGGGCUUAUACCAGCCAUUAGUUCUGAUUACUGGGGAGCUUUUGAGGCGCAAAAUGGCCGUGAUGAUUGGAAUCGCUUUUAGAGUUUCUUGGCUUUGUUGCCUGCUAAUUGUCGGGAUAACCUGUUCUACAUCAAGUGAUGGGUAUCCUGCACCAGGUUCUGAUGCAGCAUGGCUCUAUACAGGCCCACUUAGGUCUAAAGGAUAUGGUAAUUACAACUCUCCAACAGCUCAAUUGCAAGCGCAGCUGACCGAAGAGCAACAGAAACAUCUGGCAGCCAUCCUGCAAAAGCAACUGGCCCCCAUGCCCCAGGCACCUCAGAAAAUGUGGUAUCCAACUCAAAUGCCCCAGCAGGAAAAGCAACCGGCCGCCAUGAGCCAACAGCAGACGCUACCGGCCAGUUAUCCUAAGCAGCCUCAAGCAAUGUUUUAUCCAGCUCAAAUACCCCAGAAGCAACCAGUUACUGAACUUCAGCAUCAGAAGGAACAGGCCUCCAUACCCCAGCUACCUCAGCAAGUGUGGUACCCAGUUCAAAUUCCUCAGCAGCAAAAGCAACCAGCUACUGGUCCUCAGCAGCAGACCGAACUGACCACCAUGCCCCAGAAGCAACCGGCUCCAAUGCCUAUACCGCAGAAACGACCAACAGCUAUGCCCCAGAAAGCAUGGUAUCCAGCUCAAAUGCAGCAGAAGCAACCGGCCACCAUGCAGCAGCAAGUGUGGCAUCCAGCUCAAUUGCCCCAGCAGCAAAAGCAACCGGCUACUGAACCUCAGCAGCAGAAGGAACCGGCCUCCAUAACCCAGCAACCUCAGCAAGUGUUGCAUCCAGCUCAAAUGCUGCUGAAGCAACUGACUGCCAUGCCCCAGCAAGUGUGGUAUCCAGCUAAGCCCCAGAAGCAACUGGCCGCUGAUCCUCAGGAGCAGAUUGAACUGACCGCCAUGCCCCAGCAAGCAUGGUAUCCAGCUCAAAUGCCCCAGAAGCAACCAACCGCUGAACCUCAGUGGCAUCCAGCCAAAUUUCCCCAGGAGCAACCCGUCCCUAUGCGUCAACUGCAGACGGAACUGACCUCCAUUCCACCACAACUGUGGCAAUCCGCUCAAAUUCCCCAGCAGCAUAAGCAACCGGCUGCCAAGCUUCAGCAAGUGUGGCAACUGGCCCCCAUUCCCCAGCAGCCUCAUGACGUGUGGUAUCCAGCUAAAAUGGUCCAGAAGCAACAAGCAGCAUCAACUCGGCAGCAGAAGGAACUGACCACCAUGCCUCAAGAGUGGCAUCCAGCUCAAUUUCCCCAGCAGCAGAAGCAACCAGCCCUAAUGCUUUCACCGCAGAAGGAACUGACCGCCAUACACCAGCAACCUCAGCAAGUGUGGUAUCCAGCUAAAAUGCCCCAGAACCAACCAACCACUGAACCCCAGCAGCAGAAGGAACCGGCCACCAUGCCCCAGCAAGCAUGGUAUCCAGCUCAAAAGCCCCAGCUGCAGAAGGAACCGGCCGCUGAACCUCAGCAGCGGAAGCAACCGGCUGCUGAACCUCAGCAGCAGAAGGAACCGGCUGCUGAACCCCAGCAGCAGAAGGAACCGGCCACCAUGCCCCAGCAAGCAUGGUAUCCAGCUCAAAUGCCCCAGAAGCAUCUGGCCUUCAUGCCUCUACCACAGAAGCAACCAACCGCCAUGCCCCAGCAAGAGUGGCAUCCAGCUCAAAUGCCCCAGCAGCAGAAACUGGCCACCAUGCUGCAGAAGCAACCAGCCCCAAUGCCUCAACCGCAGAAGCAACAGGCCACCAUGCCCCCGCAAGUAUGGCAUCCAGCUCAAAUGCCUCAGCAGCAAAAGCAACCAGCUACUGAACCUCAGCAGCAAAUUGAACCGACCGCCAUGCCCCAGCCACCUCAGCAAUUGUGGCAUCCAGAUCAAUUUCUCCAGGAGCAGAAGCAACCAUUCACUAUGCAUCUACCGCAGAAGGAACUGACCGCCAAUCCACCACAACUGUGGCAAUCCGCUCAAAUGCCCCAGCAGCAUAAGCAGCCGGCUGCCAUGAUUCAGCAAGUGUGGCAUCGGGCACAGAAGCAACCGGCCCCUAUGCCCCAACAGCCUCACGACGUGUGGUAUCCAGCUAAAAUGGUCCAGAAGCAAGUCGCUGCGGUGACCGCCAUGCCGCAUACGCAUCAGCAAGUAUGGCAUCCAGCUGAAUUUCCCCAGCAGCAGAAGCAACCGGCCUCCACGCCUCUACCGCAGGAGCAACCGACCGCCGUACCCCAGCAAGUGUGGUAUCCAGCUCAAAUGUCACGGCAGCAACUGACCUCCAUGCCUCUACCGCAGAAGCGACUGACCGACGUGCCUCAGCAAGAGUGGCAACCAGCUCAAAUACCGCAGAAGCAACCGGCUGCUGAACCGCAGCAGAACGAACCGGCCACCAUACCCCAGCAAGUGGGGUAUCCAGCUCAAAUGUCCCAGCAGCGGAAGCAACACACUGCCAUGCCACAGCACCAACUGACCCCCAUGCCUCAGCAAUUAUGGCAUGUAGCUCAAAUGCCCCAGAAGCAACUGGCCCCAAUGUCUCAGCAGAAUCACUACGAAACCACUGAAGAUGGUGAACAGACAGGUGUCAUCCCAAUCUAUUCCUACAGUUCCAAAUCGCACUACGAGAAUGGCAGGACUGUAUUCUCCCUAACCCGCUACACUCCUAGGGAGGCUAUGCUUGUUCACAUUGGAAAUGCUCCCAAGGACAGUUUUGUUCGUACUGGUGCACCAAGCGUAUAUCCAUCACUAGUGAAAGAUUCUGCAAGGUAAUGGUUCACUUUAACCUGCUCUGAACUUUGCUCUCUGAAUUUGAAGUCCUUUGUACUAACCAUAUCUUUCAACAAGAAAAUGUAAUGGAUUCAUCCUCUAGAAGCUAAUGGUGAGAAUUGUUUUUGACAUUGGUUACUUAACAUUCUGUGUUGCUGACACUGCAUUUCUUUCUGCUUUUGUUUCGACCAGGAAGUGUCUGGUGCUCUUGCUACUCUAGCGUGAGGGAGUACAUGAACAGUUCUUCUUUAAAAAAAUGCCCUGUCUCUGUGAAAUAGUGGUUCUUGUGUCCAUUGCUUGCUAAUUGAGAACAGGUGGUGUGCAGUCUGUAGUAAAAAUGACUGCUCAGUUAAUUCUUUGGUUUUCUAGUCUUUUACCUUUGCUACUGGUUGUUCAAAAUAAAAGCUUGGGUCUACAUUUGUCAAGGGGUGAGUUGUCAGACCUUCUUCAUAUGUUCAUACUUUAGAUGUAGGCAUGCAUUGUAUACAGUGAGACUGUCUUCAACCUCAGUAAGCUAACAUAUAGGGAAUGGUUUUUAGAUGGUCAGACCAUGGCUCAUUUAGCUACUAGAAUUGAGUGACCAUUUGGUUUCAAACUUGCAUUUGGCCUUAUACUAUAGCCCAUACCACAAAUGGCAAAGAGUCAAAUCAGUUUAGGAGUGUCUGUUCCAUAUCUAGCUGAAUCAAAUGUUAUUGUUGAUGCUUCUACCUCCAUACUUCUGUUUGUAUGGGUUACCUGUCUUACAAUUGUGGGGUCAUAGAGGGAAACGUAACUAUGUUCGGGAGUCAAUUUCCCAUAAUGGUCAGUUUGUAGGCCAAACCGUUCUGAAGCUAUAGAUGUUUUUGAGACUGCAUUUUUUGGGUGUCAGACCAACACCACUGUAGCUCGGCCCCUGUCCACCGCAGAUGCAACGGGCGGCUGCAGUGUCUUGAGACGCAGCCCAUUCAAAAUGUUCUAGCUUCAACUGGAUUUUGAUGGGCCUUUUACUUUGACUGCCUCAAUACUCUUCAGCUGUAGCCCAUUCCUCCUAGUCCAUUUAUUGUACCACAGGCUCCUGUGUAUUUGGUAUCUACAAUGCCUGGAACGGUUUAACCGCUCAAUUAACAAAUAAAUUCUGUAUAGACUGUCUUUAAACAUGCACAUUUUUCUUAACCAAUCAAUCGAACUGCGUAGUAUGAGAAUUAGGCCCUUUAAUGGAUCCAUUAAGUUCCAAAGCGGAAGCUGGUAGGCACUAACAUGACAGUUUAGCUAGCAUAAGAUGUCACCCAGGACUUUUGGACAACUUGACAUAUUUGCCUGUUGUAGUUGACUGUUUGGCCAGACUCAUGAACAUGAAUGAAAUUGUAUAUGCAUUGAAUUUUCAACAAGAAGUUAGUUUACUGUUGGACAAUCUCUUGUCUAGUGUACGUCAACAGACAACUUCAUUUAAUUUGUCACAGUAUGGAAUUUUUGGACACGAUCUCAAUGUGUGUGCAACCUUUUUGCACAACACAUUUCUACCGGACCACUGAGGUUGCAC
Oncorhynchus tshawytscha (Chinook salmon) is the source of this 4457-nucleotide long non-coding RNA. NCBI's taxonomy places the organism in Eukaryota, Metazoa, Chordata, Actinopteri, Salmoniformes, Salmonidae. The record is from Ensembl.